Molecule: non-coding RNA, 206 nt
Organism: Pelobates cultripes (western spadefoot toad)
Lineage: Eukaryota; Metazoa; Chordata; Amphibia; Anura; Pelobatidae
Source: the annotation of a GenBank genome assembly
CACACACUUACAGACGCAUACACACUAGCUAACAGACACACACAUUUACUGACAGAGACACAGUCAGCGACAGACAUACAUACACACUCACUUACAAAACGUACACUCUCAUUGACAAACACACACUCACUAACAGACAUCAAACAGACUCACUAACACACACACUCAGUAAGACACACACAGUAACAAACUCACUGACACUCACU